RNAcentral lists this long non-coding RNA (3675 nucleotides) under Homo sapiens (human). RNAcentral's name for it is "non-protein coding lnc-TBC1D22A-6:1". Lineage: Eukaryota; Metazoa; Chordata; Mammalia; Primates; Hominidae. The record is from RNAcentral.
AACUGUGAGAAGUGGAUGUAGGAGCACGUGUGUUUCCUUUGGCCUCAGGCACUGCUGGGCCCACACACUGAUCAGGCGUCACCCCUUGGCUGUCCUGAGUCUCAGGCUGGGCUCUCACCUCACAGGCUGAGCGAUCUCACUGCUUCCAGACCUCUCUGAGUCCCAGGACAGAGCGCCGCUGAUGGACAGAGCGCAGCUGUGGGGUCAGCUGACAGAAUGUACUGGAAUGCAGCUUGGUGGUAGUGGGGGGCUCAGUGCAGGACAGUGGCCCUUCCGUCUCCUUCAAUCACCUGCACUGUGGCAGGCGAGGGGGUGCCGGCAAUGACAAGGUUGCUGGAUCUUGGGACUGAGCUAGCCAGAAGAUCCCUAGUUUUCAGUCUGGCCUCCUUGACUCCUGAAGGAUUAAACCAAAAGUGCACCUGGUGUCAGCGAAAGGCUGCAGAAAGAGGCACUGGGUCUGUCUGCACUGAGUUAGCUGAAGUUUUUGGAAUUUUUACUUCUUUACCCAUCUGUGGAUUUGCAUAUUGUCAAAAAGCCCAAAUGAAGAUUUGUUCUCUAGGAGACUCAGCCUCCAGCCCUCUUCAGAAGUCCUCGAUUAUAUUUCCAGAUCCUUCUUGUGUAGAAACACGUACCUAAUGUGCACCUGUUCAGAUUCCAGCUGUGUGGAAACAGUGGGAUGUCUGAACUAGCAGGAGGAAAGAAAAGACUUAAAAAGACAAAGUAGAUUACAGGAAAGCAAUGAUUUCUCUGGCUGUUUGUCACUUCGAGUGCAAUACAUUAACAAAGUGCUGUAAUAAGGAGAGCUACUAAAAAAUGAUUUAUUGAUACUUUAGACCUGUUAAAACAGGUUAAUGUCAAUACAAUUAGCUCCUGGAUCAAGACAAUCCCCAAGUUGAUAAAAGAGCAUUAAAUGCCACUCCAUCAAAAUGGGGGAGGGGCUGAGGACUUUGCCCGCAGGGAAGAGAGGAGAGAAAUGUUCUCUGACAGUGUCCACUCUCCCACCCCUGGGGUCCCCUUGGGCCCUCGCCCCCCAGGACUCCAUGGACUGGAGUCUGAGACUCGGGCUGUUCUAAGAAAUGGGCAGUUUUUGUCUGGAAGGCUCGCUGGCUCUGCUAUUUCAUGGAUGAGCGACUCCUGAGUAAUUUGGGAGAGUAUCGAGCAAUUGUUAUGCUGGGAAAAUGGGCAGAGAAGAGCAGGUGAGUCACCAGGAGACUGCCAGAAAAUGAGAGUAUUCUCAGAAAUGAGCAGAGCUCCGGAGCCUGGUAAUGGAUGGAUGGGUCAGGGCCUGGUCCCUGGGCGCGUCCCCUCACCUUGCUGAGCCUGCUCCCUUCUUGGCCAGUCUAUGCAGCUGUGAGCCCUAAGUGUGGCCCCUGCCUGGCACUGCAUGGACCCUGGACCUGCAGACCCCCUCAGUGCUAUCUUCUGCUCGGAGGGAUCUGUCCUUUGGGGAGUGAAUCGAGGCUGCAUUGGUCUUCAGUGCUCCCCUGGGUGGUCAUCAGGGCAUCACUGCCACAGUGUGAGUUGGGACGAUCUUAAUGUCAUCAUCCCAGUCCUCAAAGAGUUGUUUGAAAAUGGUUGCCUUUUAAGGCAACAGUGCACAGGAUGAGAAUUCAGAUGACACAGCCCUGAGUGUGAGGCACCUCAGUCUCCCUCACCCACCCCUCCCCACCUCUUCUGCACAGGCAGCCGCUGCUUCUGGGCCUGGUUUUCCUUCCAGAGUCAGCCUGCAUGUUGACAUGCACAUGGCUCUGCUCUGGGCAUGUUUGCCGGACACGCCAGGCAGCUUCUGCGGGUUAUGUUGCAGAGCCAACGACACCCAAGUCUCGGGGGCUUUUUCUGAAUCAAGGGUUGAUUUCUUGCUGGCUGUGCAUCUGCUCUGCAUUCUUCUUCAUUCCCGACCAGGCUGAGGCCCAGCCCUGAUGAGGCAUGGCAGAGGGAACACAGAAACAGUGAAACACACAGUGGCUCUUGGAGUGACGCGAGCCACUUUUGCUCGUGUUCAUUGGCCAAAGGGUUGGAGCUGAGGGUUCCUGGAUUCUGAGCUGGCGGCUAGUGGAGAGGAAGGGUGUGUGGACAGAGGGCAAAGCGUUCUCUUUCCCAAUUCCAAGUUCUCAGGAGAGAGGGUUGGAUGGGGCCAGCUGGGGCCCCUGCCCAACACACGUCCCGUUAGCCUUGCCAGGUGAAGGCAGGCUCUCCAUGAUCCGGGUGGACAUCAUGGCUGUGCUGAUUCGGCAGCUGCAUCCAGUGUUUGGAUAAGGUGCAGUUUGGGGACAAGGUAAGUGCCCCAAGAGCGGAGGCCUAGUUCAUCACUGAGGCCAUGACCCCAGAACUGUGCCUGGCAGGGGGCAGCAGGUGUUUCUGAAUGAAUGAAUGGGUGAGGAGAAGCCAUCUCAGCGCUGGGAGGGAGGCAGGCUCAGUGAAGAUCCGGCCCCCACUCUGGUGAAGGGCAGCAAUCCCUAUCCCUGUGGGGUCGGGGGUUCCAGGGGUGGCUAGGAGCUGUGGCCCUGCCCCUUGUCCUACCUAAACCCCCCAGGACACCAGCUCUGACACCCACCUCUGUCUGACUCACCCUGGAUCAGGUGGAAGGCUCUGGCCUGUCCCGAGCCCCUCCUGCUGCUGUAACAAGGAAGCGGAGAUGAACACAAAGACAAAAGCGGCCCCUGCCCCCUGGGCACAGUGGACUCGUGGAAAAGACCCCUUGUUUCCUUCUUUGUCAGAAGCCCAGGAAAGAGCAGCUCUUUCAGUUUCCAGGACUGAUUGCUCAGAGUGUUCUAAGGGAUGUCUCUUCCUGAAGAGAAAUUCUCCUCCUGAAAAUUACCCAUCACAGUACUUUGCGGUCUUUUCUCAUUUCUCAUCUCAGACCCUUAAUAGCCUUGCCAGCGCCAAAGGCCUCCGUGUGACUGUCAGCGGCUAUUACCCUUGUCACCUCGAACGCUGCCGGUCCCCAGCUCUGCAAAGGCCCAGCAAAGCUCUCGCCCCCGUCUCCAGCCCUCUCCAAAUGCUCCUGAGCAGCGGCAUUGAGGAUCUCAUUUCAGCGAGUGAUGCCUGGCCUGUGCGGGGGGGACCCUGGGCCGGGGCAGGGAGCCUGGAGAAGGGAGAUGUGACCCAGGUACCCCAGCCAGGCCUGGAAAGAGAAAAUCUAAGUCCAAAGGAGGUCUCACCUCUGUCCCCAGCAGCAUCUUGGGGUGGGUCGGUCUGCCUCUGAGACCCCGAGUGCAGACCCUGGGGCAGACAGCACUUAGCUGGAGGCGUGACCCAGGGGUCCUGGGGGCACUUGGGGAGACAGGGAGGUGCCUUCCCAACACUUGGGGAGGGAAUUCAACUUGUCUCUGUCCAGAUCGGCCCCGCUCUGGAGAGGCAGCCUGUGGUCCAGAACAGGGAGAGCCAUGCCUCAAGAAGCAGGUGCAUCUGCUGGAAGGGAGGCUGGUCAGCAGGGUGCUAGGGUCAGGCUGUGUCCAGCCAUCCCUGUCCCCACAGUGUCUGGGGUCCUGGGCAGGGAGCUGAGCAUGGUGAGGCUGUGGACUGGAUGGUUCCUGAGGCUGAGGGACCGUUCAGGGGUCCUCAGUGAUGCCUUGCUGUUCUAGCCCAGAAAUGUUCUCCCUUGCUCUGCCUGAACUUGAUGUGCAGAGCUGCGGCCCCUCUGCUUCCACUGAGGAGUCCUCGCGGGAAUGAGGG